UCACUUACCUGGACGGGGUCAAUGGGUGAUCAAGAAGAUCCAUGGCCUAGGUGGGUGAUCUCCAUUGCACUUUGGAGGGGUGCCCGCCUAAGGUCAGCCCAAGCGGUCGAGCCAACGUCAUAAUUUGUGUCAGUGGGGGCUUGCGUUCGCGCAGCCCUUG
This 160-nucleotide small nuclear RNA is filed under the name Helianthus annuus (common sunflower). Its description in RNAcentral is "U1 spliceosomal RNA". It matches the Rfam family "U1 spliceosomal RNA". From Rfam's summary of the family: U1 is a small nuclear RNA (snRNA) component of the spliceosome (involved in pre-mRNA splicing). Its 5' end forms complementary base pairs with the 5' splice junction, thus defining the 5' donor site of an intron. The record is from RNAcentral. Lineage: Eukaryota; Viridiplantae; Streptophyta; Magnoliopsida; Asterales; Asteraceae.